RNAcentral lists this ribosomal RNA (477 nucleotides) under Theileria sinensis. RNAcentral's name for it is "SSU rRNA". It matches the Rfam family "Eukaryotic small subunit ribosomal RNA", at positions 523 to 1040 of the family's 1831-position model. The record is from RNAcentral. Lineage: Eukaryota; Apicomplexa; Aconoidasida; Piroplasmida; Theileriidae.
GGGUAAUCCCUCUUUCGAGUUCAUUGGAGGGCAGUCUGGUGCCAGCAGCCGCGGUAAUUCCAGCUCCAAUAGCGUAUAUUAAAAUUGUUGCAGUUAAAAAGCUCGUAGUUGAAUUUCUGCUGCAUCGUCGCAUCUCUUGCUGAGUGCUUCGUUUCGGCUUAUUUCGGAUUGAUUUUUUCUUUCCGGAUGAUUACUUUGAGAAAAUUAGAGUGCUCAAAGCAGGCUUUUGCCUUGAAUAGUUUAGCAUGGAAUAAUAAAGUAGGACUUUGGUUCUAUUUUGUUGGUUUUAGGUACCAAAGUAAUGGUUAAUAGGAACAGUUGGGGGCAUUCGUAUUUAACUGUCAGAGGUGAAAUUCUUAGAUUUGUUAAAGACGAACUACUGCGAAAGCAUUUGCCAAGGAUGUUUUCAUUAAUCAAGAACGAAAGUUAGGGGAUCGAAGACGAUCAGAUACCGUCGUAGUCCUAACCAUAAACUAA